RNAcentral lists this ribosomal RNA (520 nucleotides) under uncultured Diversispora. RNAcentral describes it as "SSU rRNA". It matches the Rfam family "Eukaryotic small subunit ribosomal RNA", at positions 569 to 1089 of the family's 1831-position model. The record is from RNAcentral. Lineage: Eukaryota; Fungi; Glomeromycota; Glomeromycetes; Diversisporales; Diversisporaceae.
AGCAGCCGCGGUAAUUCCAGCUCCAAUAGCGUAUAUUAAAGUUGUUGCAGUUAAAAAGCUCGUAGUUGAACUUCGGGGUUUACUCAUUGGUCAGGCUUAAUUGUCUGUACUGGUGAGAUGAAUCUCUACCUUCUGAGGAACUUUCAUGUCAUUUAUUUGGUGUGAUUGGAAAUCAGGACUGUUACUUUGAAAAAAUUAGAGUGUUUAAAGCAGGCUAACGUCUGAAUACAUUAGCAUGGAAUAAUGAAAUAGGACGGACUGAUUCUAUUUCGUUGGUUUCUAGGGUCACCGUAAUGAUUAAUAGGGAUAGUUGGGGGCAUUAGUAUUCAAUUGUCAGAGGUGAAAUUCUUGGAUUUAUUGAAGACUAACUACUGCGAAAGCAUUUGCCAAGGAUGUUUUCAUUAAUCAAGAACGAAAGUUAGGGGAUCGAAGACGAUCAGAUACCGUCGUAGUCUUAACCAUAAACUAUGCCGACUAGGGAUCGGACGAAGUUAAUUAAUAAUGACGCGUUCGGCAACCG